UAGGAAGUAAUAUAAGGGGAGUAUGGAGGGUUUUGAUCUCUUUUGUGCAGGUUCGAUUCCUGUCUUCCUAA
This 71-nucleotide transfer RNA is filed under the name Falco tinnunculus (common kestrel). RNAcentral describes it as "tRNA-Gln". It matches the Rfam family "tRNA". From Rfam's summary of the family: Transfer RNA (tRNA) molecules are approximately 80 nucleotides in length. Their secondary structure includes four short double-helical elements and three loops (D, anti-codon, and T loops). The record is from RNAcentral. RNAcentral also lists the same sequence under 6 other names. Lineage: Eukaryota; Metazoa; Chordata; Aves; Falconiformes; Falconidae.